CCAUUUCCCUAGCAGGUUGAGCUAACCCCAUCCCUUUUCCCUAGCAGGUUGAGCUAACCCCAUCCCUUUUCCCUAGCAGGUUGAGCUAACCCCAUCCCUUUUCCCUAGCAGGUUGAGCUAACCCCAUCCCUUUUCCCUAGCAGGUUGAGCUAACCCCAUCCAUUUCCCUAGCAGGUUGAGCUAACCCCAUCCAUUUCCCUAGCAGGUUGAGUUAACCCCAUCCCUUUUCCUGAGCAGGUUGAGCUAACCCCAUCCAUUUCCCUAGCAGGUUGAGCUAACCCCAUCCCUUUUCCCUAGCAGGUUGAGCUAACCCCAUCCCUUUUCCCUAGCAGGUUGAGCUAACCCCAUCCAUUUCCCUAGCAGGUUGAGUUAACCCCAUCCCUUUUCCUGAGCAGGUUGAGCUAACCCCAUCCAUUUCCCUAGCAGGUUGAGUUAACCCCAUCCCUUUUCCUAGCAGGUUGAGCUAACCCCAUCCCUUUUCCCUAGCAGGUU
Molecule: long non-coding RNA, 492 nt
Organism: Oncorhynchus keta (chum salmon)
Lineage: Eukaryota; Metazoa; Chordata; Actinopteri; Salmoniformes; Salmonidae
Exons: 5
Source: RefSeq, a predicted model, not a curated record